AACGUGAUUACAAUAAAUCCACGUAGAAAUUUCAGACUUUUUACCAUUACUACGUCUGUCAAUUAUAUUGCCUUGCAUGAUAUAAUGUUUUGAUGUGGUUUUAGGCUAAAUUGUAUCUCAAAUUAUUUUUCUAGGAAUUGGAAAACACAACCUGCUAAUGCACCACGCAAGAAGAAGAGCAAGUCUUCCAAGUCCGAGAGUGUGUCUGCGAGAUCCAUUGAAACUAAUCAAGCUACAAUGUACAUGUAACGUACAACCACCAUUUGAUUAGAUGCCUGUGAACACUGAACAGCAAGACCAACAUCUGUAUCCUUUACAUUAGUAUUUGUUUCCAUUUUAUUAUGUAAUUCUUAUGUCUAAUCAUUGAGAUUCAUAGGCAAGUACAACAUGUAUGUGUACACAAUGAGUGCCUGCAUAUUGUGAAGAUAAAGUACCAUAAGACCAUUACUUAUGAUACAUGGUGAUGAUGGUAUACUUUGUAAAACUAUUUGAAAAUAGUAGCAUGUAAGUCUGUCAUUUUCUUGUUUAUAUAUAUCUCAAUGACAUGACAUGUCAUUGAUUUUGUAGUAA
This is a long non-coding RNA of Strongylocentrotus purpuratus (purple sea urchin), 570 nucleotides long. RefSeq lists it as uncharacterized. The transcript has 2 exons. Lineage: Eukaryota; Metazoa; Echinodermata; Echinoidea; Camarodonta; Strongylocentrotidae. The record is from RefSeq and is a predicted model, not a curated record.